Non-coding RNA from Caenorhabditis elegans, 224 nucleotides. The record is from Ensembl. NCBI's taxonomy places the organism in Eukaryota, Metazoa, Nematoda, Chromadorea, Rhabditida, Rhabditidae.
AACAGCUUUCAAGACUAGUUUCAAAUUUGUCGAUUCAAUGGAUCAAGUGUGUAAUUGAUCCAAUAAAAAAGAGUAUAAAGUGAGAAGGAAGAAAGUGUGAAAAAAGAAGAACGUGAAACGUGCAGAAGAUACGAAAUGAGUUUGAAGACUGCACUUUUCGAGCCUCGAUGGUCAGUCACUUGGUCAGUUGCGAAAAAGCUGUGAAAAUGAUACAUUGUGUCGGC